Molecule: long non-coding RNA, 238 nt
Filed under: Lathyrus oleraceus (garden pea)
Lineage: Eukaryota; Viridiplantae; Streptophyta; Magnoliopsida; Fabales; Fabaceae
Description: Pisum sativum (pea) long non-coding RNA (PSAT_LNC005897)
Source: RNAcentral
UUGCCGAGGCUUAUUGUGAACGAAAGAGGAGUCGAGGUCGAUCCUGCUAAAAAAAAAAAAAAAAANAAAAAAACGGGAAGAAAAAAAAAAGAGAAAAAGAAAAAUAAUGUAAGAAAUGCCUGAACCGAAAACAAAAAGAGAUCAAACGGUCAGGUAGGAUAAUGAUUGCCAAGGGGCAUUAGAUAAAAGAAUGAGUAGUAGGAACCUCUGAUUCUGGUACCUCCCGUGGAAGAAACAA